This 130-nucleotide small RNA is filed under the name Brenneria goodwinii. RNAcentral describes it as "RtT sRNA". It matches the Rfam family "RtT RNA". Rfam says of the family: This family represents a bacterial cis-regulatory element known as RtT RNA. The exact function of RtT is unknown although it is thought that it may be involved in changing the cellular response in relation to amino acid starvation. The record is from RNAcentral. Lineage: Bacteria; Pseudomonadati; Pseudomonadota; Gammaproteobacteria; Enterobacterales; Pectobacteriaceae.
ACUGGUUUUAAAUCGUAAAGGAUGAGAACCGAAAAGGUUCGACAAAAUCGGCUCCAUCGAUUUUGAGCAACGCGGCAGCGUUGACCCGAAGGGCGAGGCCGGAGGCCGAGUCAUCCUGCACGACCCACCA